GACGAACGCUGGCGGCGUGCUUAACACAUGCAAGUCGAACGGAAAGGCCCUGCUUUUGUGGGGUGCUCGAGUGGCGAACGGGUGAGUAACACGUGAGUAACCUGCCCUUGACUUUGGGAUAACUUCAGGAAACUGGGGCUAAUACCGGAUAGGAGCUCCUGCUGCAUGGUGGGGGUUGGAAAGUUUCGGCGGUUGGGGAUGGACUCGCGGCUUAUCAGCUUGUUGGUGGGGUAGUGGCUUACCAAGGCUUUGACGGGUAGCCGGCCUGAGAGGGUGACCGGCCACAUUAGGACUGAGAUACGGCCCAGACUCCUACGGGAGGCAGCAGUGGGGAAGAUUGCACAAUGGGCGGAGGCCUGAUGCAGCAACGCCGCGUGCGGGAUGACGGCCUUCGGGUUGGAAACCGCUUUCGCCUGUGACGAAGCGUGAGUGACGGUAAUGGGUAAAGAAGCACCGGCUAACUACGUG
Molecule: ribosomal RNA, 468 nt
Filed under: uncultured bacterium
Lineage: Bacteria
Description: partial 16S ribosomal RNA
Rfam family: Bacterial small subunit ribosomal RNA
Source: RNAcentral